Molecule: ribosomal RNA, 610 nt
Filed under: Marinobacter sp.
Lineage: Bacteria; Pseudomonadati; Pseudomonadota; Gammaproteobacteria; Pseudomonadales; Marinobacteraceae
Description: bacterial SSU rRNA
Rfam family: Bacterial small subunit ribosomal RNA
Source: RNAcentral
CGAUGCGCAGCUUACACAUGCAAGUCGAGCGGUAACAGGGGGUGCUUGCACCCCGCUGACGAGCGGCGGACGGGUGAGUAAUGCAUAGGAAUCUGCCCAGUAGUGGGGGAUAGCCCGGGGAAACCCGGAUUAAUACCGCAUACGCCCUUUGGGGGAAAGCAGGGGAUCUUCGGACCUUGCGCUAUUGGAUGAGCCUAUGUCGGAUUAGCUAGUUGGUGGGGUAAAGGCCUACCAAGGCGACGAUCCGUAGCUGGUCUGAGAGGAUGAUCAGCCACAUCGGGACUGAGACACGGCCCGAACUCCUACGGGAGGCAGCAGUGGGGAAUAUUGGACAAUGGGGGCAACCCUGAUCCAGCCAUGCCGCGUGUGUGAAGAAGGCUUUCGGGUUGUAAAGCACUUUCAGUGAGGAGGAAAACCUUCUGGUUAAUACCCAUGAGGCUUGACGUUACUCACAGAAGAAGCACCGGCUAACUCCGUGCCAGCAGCCGCGGUAAUACGGAGGGUGCAAGCGUUAAUCGGAAUUACUGGGCGUAAAGCGCGCGUAGGUGGUUUGAUAAGCGAGAUGUGAAAGCCCCGGGCUUAACCUGGGAACGGCAUUUCGAACUGUCAG